Molecule: ribosomal RNA, 471 nt
Filed under: uncultured bacterium
Lineage: Bacteria
Description: bacterial SSU rRNA
Rfam family: Bacterial small subunit ribosomal RNA
Source: RNAcentral
ACUCGUAGACUCCUACGGGAGGCAGCAGUGAGGAAUAUUUGGGCAAUGGAGGCAACUCUGACCCAGCCAUGCCGCGUGCAGGAAGACGGCCCUAUGGGUUGUAAACUGCUUUUUAUACAGGAAGAAACGCAUCUACGUGUAGGUGUUUGACGGUACUGUAAGAAUAAGGAUCGGCUAACUCCGUGCCAGCAGCCGCGGUAAUACGGAGGAUUCGAGCGUUAUCCGGAAUCAUUGGGUUUAAAGGGUCCGUAGGCGGUCUUAUAAGUCAGUGGUGAAAUCUUCCAGCUCAACUGGGAAACUGCCAUUGAUACUGUAGGACUUGAAUAUUUGUGAAGUAACUAGAAUAUGUAGUGUAGCGGUGAAAUGCUUAGAUAUUACAUGGAAUACCAAUUGCGAAGGCAGGUUACUAACAGAUUAUUGACGCUGAUGGACGAAAGCGUGGGUAGCGAACAGGAUUAGAUACCCUGGUAG